RNAcentral lists this ribosomal RNA (254 nucleotides) under uncultured bacterium. Its description in RNAcentral is "partial 16S ribosomal RNA". It matches the Rfam family "Bacterial small subunit ribosomal RNA", at positions 524 to 776 of the family's 1533-position model. The record is from RNAcentral.
UACGUAGGGGGCGAGCGUUGUCCGGAUUUAUUGGGCGUAAAACGCUUGUAGGCGGCCACGCCGCGUCGGACGUGAAAUCUCCCGGCUUAACUGGGAGGGGUCGUGCGAUACGGGCGGGCUCGAGGCAGGUAGGGGGAAGCGGAAUUCCCAGUAUAAUGGUGGAAUGCAUAGAUAUCGAAAGGAACACCAGUGGCGAAGGCGGCUUCCUGGACCUGAUCUGACGCUGAGGAGCGAAAGCGUGGGGAGCGAUCCGG